Molecule: ribosomal RNA, 169 nt
Filed under: uncultured bacterium
Lineage: Bacteria
Description: partial 16S ribosomal RNA
Rfam family: Bacterial small subunit ribosomal RNA
Source: RNAcentral
GCUAGUAAUCGCAGAUCAGAAUGCUGCGGUGAAUACGUUCCCGGGUCUUGUACACACCGCCCGUCACACCAUGGGGAGCCGGGAAUGCCCGAAGUCGGUGACCCAACCGGUAAGGAGGGAGCCGCCGAAGGCAGGCCUGGUAACUGGGGUGAAGUCGUAACAAGGUAGC